RNAcentral lists this long non-coding RNA (2422 nucleotides) under Homo sapiens (human). RNAcentral's name for it is "HSALNT0236013". The record is from RNAcentral. Lineage: Eukaryota; Metazoa; Chordata; Mammalia; Primates; Hominidae.
GCGUGAUCUCGGCUUACCGCAACCUUUGCCUCCCAGGUUCAAGCAAUUCUCCUGCUUCAGCCUUCCAAGUAGCUGGGAUUACAGGCAUGCGCCACCAUGGUUGGCUAAUUUUGUAUUUUUAGUAGAGACAGAGUUUCUCUCUGUUGGUCUGGCUGGCCUCAAAUUCCCAACCUCAGGUGAUCUGCCCGCCUCCGCCUCCCAAAGUGCUGGGAUUACAGGCAUGAGCCACCACGCAGGGCCAGAAUUCAGGUUUUAACCAAUGUUCUGGAUGUAAAUGGUACACAGAAUCUGCGUAUUGGGGGUGGGGAGGGGCACAACCCCCUAAGAGUCUCUCUUGCUCCUGGACGGCAUGAUGGGAAGUGACCUGUUCCACUUGUCGAGAACUAGUGGACCCCAUGUUUCCCUCUAGCUUGGACACUAUGGUUCUCAGGAGGAAUCCUCACCCCCGGCCAGGAGCCCUUCUCCUCCACCUACUACUGCUGGGCUCUACCUCCCCCACUUUUAAUUUUAAGCCUUGGCUCAAAAUUCACUCCCCAAUAUUUCUCCCCUUCUCUCUACUUUCGUCCUCAAUAAUCCCAAGCAGCUGGGGUGUACAAGUCGUUUUCACCUCUUGGGACCGUGCUAAAGGGGGCAGCCUAUGAUUACCAUGAGGGUAUGGGAGCCCUGAACUGCAAAUCUAUCAUUUCCAGAGAAGCCAGAAAUCUGAAAUUUUCUGUGCAAUUUCUGAAACUUUAAAUCAGAAUUUUUUCUAAAAUUCAAUGGGUCAGAUACCACAGUCUGUGUAAUCAAUCCAUUCCAAAGUCUCCUCCUUUUGCUAAAGGAGAAGAUUCCUUAAAACAAGGCAGAAGCCAACUGAAGCAAGGGAGAACCACCUCCCACCCCUCCCCACACACACUUUCCACACCCAGUAACUAGGUCUCUGGGCGGAUAAUUCUGUUUUGUUUUGUUUUUUUUAAUUUUGGACAGCUAAUCUCUGUAGUGAGGAACCCAGAACUUUCGGUAAUGUAAGGGAUAUUAGUCUGGUUGUCAGAAAAAUGGGCUGGAGUAUUUGUGCUGUGUCCCUGACCAUAAUUCCUGCUCAGUUGCUUAGCUCCCUGGCAACUAUGUCUGAGGGCUAAACAGGAGUUGGUGUGAUCUUCCAGAAAAAGAACAGGCUUCUUGUCUUGCAGAGGCAGGAAGUCAGAAAACAAGAGUGUGUGUGUGUGUGUCAGGGGGUGGGGGGUGUCAGGUUGCAGUGAGCCAGGAUCUUGGCCACUGCUCUCCAGCCUGGGUGACAGAGUGAGCCUGUCUCAAAAAAAAAAAAAAAAAGAGUGAGCAAUCCUCAAAGUAUCCAAGAACAACUACACGCCCCAAGGGGAAAACCAGCUGGAUUGCUUAGGCCUUGGCUGUAGUCACUAAAGAAUGGCAUCAAUCUCAGAAACCCUCAAGAUGGGGUCAAUUUAGGAAGAAGCUGUUUAUUCUGUACUGUCUUUGGCCUCCACCUAAGGUCUGGCAUCGACCCACCCUUCAGGCUCAUAGUUCAGCGAGGUUAGAGCACUUAGGGAGAAGCAGGUAACACAUCCAGGGUUUGAGAGAAGACCAGCACACAACUCUCAGUGAUCUGGAUAGAGGAAGACUAAAUUACUGUGGUUCAGGCAGCCUUGCCAGGUGAUGUCUUCCCAAAACUUCUCAGAUGUAUAUUCCUCCCUGAUUGUGCCACCUAGGCCUCCUUCCCUUCAGUUUGGGACUUAAAACUUCCACCAAUAACGUGAGUAUGUGCACCCAUGCAGCAGCCUGUCCGAGGACUCACAACUGGAGACACCUCCCUGCUUGGCGCUGCCCAGAAAACUAUGUAGAUGGCCAAGAAACCGACUUCCAUUAUAAAAUGUUUUUCUGUGUGUACCAGGAAAAAGAUGCUCAAAAUCCAAAUCACCACUUUAUUAUGUGGCAGUCACCAUGGUGCCAGCCUCUGCCUUCCCCAUGUCACCCUCCUAAUCCAGGGCUCUCCAACCAUAUUCAUGUUUGCGUUUUCACAAGUCAAUGUCCAUUAAGGCCUUGUGCUCCCCUUUUCUUCAGUACAGGGCAGGGCCCUUAUAAUUUGGGUCUCAAGAAUUGAUAGUUGUCUCUUAACUGGUUCUGGUGAGGCGCACUCACAGCAGUGAGUGGAGGGUCCUGGGAGGGCAUGGAUGACGGAGGCUGCCCCUAGAGGAGCUGGAUGUAGGAGCAGAGACAUUUCUUGAUCUUUCACUCUGCAAACUGGUCCAAGAACUUGAGAGGGGAUGACUUUGUCAGUGUCCCCAAAAACAUGGAGCGAAGGCAAUGACAAGGGCCUUUGCAGGAUGGAUUCCUUGAACCCAAUGCCCCGGGGACAGAAACCAGACACCAAGAGGAUAAACCGUGGCAAGGGGAAGCGGGGAUCGCCUGCCUGGCCCAGGGCACACAC